ACCUCUUUGGUACCGAUCAACGUCAUAUCGUUGUUUGUAACAGUUGCGAAAAGUGUCAACAACGAUAUAUCGUUGCGUAUACGAUGACGCCUUACUAUUUGAAUCUCAUCUCAAAAUAACUUUAUAAAACAUUAUAAAUGGUUGAAUUUUUCUGCAGAAGUCCUGUGUGAGGUAUUCCACAAAUUGAAAAAAUUGUUUAGGGGUUUAACUUUUCGUUAUAUUCUGCGAUGAUUGAUACCGAGAUUGUGUAUGUGCUAAUGCCGUAAGAUAAAAAUUCGACACGGGAGAUUUGCUUGAAGCCUUAGUCACAGGUUGUAAAUAAUACUAUUUAGAAUAGAGUAUCUUCCUAUGUUUCACAAAAUAAUCUUACAUCGAUAGGACGAGAAUAAAAUUUUUAGUGGGCCUGUGCGAAGUUCACGCACAAUUUGUAAUCUGUGCAAAAUUAUAAAUUAUCUAUUGAUGUUAUACCAGCUCACUUGUUUUCGAGCAAGUAAUCCUCCUGGCGCUUACUGUGCAUCAUGGGAUUAUCAUUUAGUUUUGUGUUUUGAUAUUAGAAAUUUUGUUACAAAUAAUUGAGGAUGCAAUAUUUAUGCUUUA
Bombus impatiens (common eastern bumble bee) is the source of this 597-nucleotide long non-coding RNA. RefSeq lists it as uncharacterized. The transcript is spliced from 2 exons. Lineage: Eukaryota; Metazoa; Arthropoda; Insecta; Hymenoptera; Apidae. The record is from RefSeq and is a predicted model, not a curated record.